This 377-nucleotide unclassified non-coding RNA is filed under the name Hevea brasiliensis (rubber tree). Lineage: Eukaryota; Viridiplantae; Streptophyta; Magnoliopsida; Malpighiales; Euphorbiaceae. The record is from RNAcentral.
AAAAAUAGUCACAGAAAAACUCUUCUUUAAUCAAAAGAUUCUCUUUUACAUGUUUGCUUUAAAAUGGCUUCCGAAACUCCUAGUUUGUGAUGAAAAUACAAGACACAUGACCAGAAAAUCUACAAGAAAGUAAAAGAGAAGAAAACUAAUCGCCUCACAGUACAUCAAGUAUGGACUACAUUAUACAAAAAUAGCUCAACCCCAAGAUUUAUAACUUGUUUCAUCCCACAAGUAGAGUGUCCUCCUAUGCUUUGCUCAUCUCAAGUUAGAGUUAGCUUCAUACAGCAGCUGGCUCUUCAAUUAUUCCUUCUUUUUUGGCUUCCUCGCCUAGAGUAAAUCGAACGAACCUCCUAACUUUUAUGUUCUCCCCAAGAGCA